CCUACGUGUGGCAGCAGUGAGGAAUAUUGGUCAAUGGGCGCGAGCCUGAACCAGCCAAGUCGCGUGAGGGAAGACGGUCCUAUGGAUUGUAAACCUCUUUUGUCGGGGAGCAAAAGACGCCACGCGUGGCGUUCCGAGAGUACCCGAAGAAAAAGCAUCGGCUAACUCCGUGCCAGCAGCCGCGGUAAUACGGAGGAUGCGAGCGUUAUCCGGAUUUAUUGGGUUUAAAGGGUGCCCAGGCGGAAGAUCAAGUCAGCGGUAAAAUUGAGGGGCUCAACCUCUUCGAGCCGUUGAAACUGGUUGUCUUGAGUGGGCGAGAAGUAUGCGGAAUGCGCGGUGUAGCGGUGAAAUGCAUAGAUAUCAGGAGGAACACCGGCGGCGAAGGCGGCUUACUGGACUGUAACUGACGUUGAGGCUCGAAGGCGUGGGGAGCAAACAGGAUUAGAUACCCUUGUAGUC
This 459-nucleotide ribosomal RNA is filed under the name uncultured bacterium. RNAcentral describes it as "partial 16S ribosomal RNA". It matches the Rfam family "Bacterial small subunit ribosomal RNA", at positions 338 to 795 of the family's 1533-position model. The record is from RNAcentral.